UAUAAGAAAGUACUCAAACUCAGUGGGUU
This 29-nucleotide non-coding RNA is filed under the name Mus musculus (house mouse). The record is from RNAcentral. Lineage: Eukaryota; Metazoa; Chordata; Mammalia; Rodentia; Muridae.